ACAUCAUAAUUUCAUACCAUGUCCUAGCCUCACUUUCUAGGCUUCUUAAAAAUUUGUUUCAAAAAUAUGUGAUCUAAUCCCUCUCUAAAACUAUAGGUGGCCUGACAACAUCGAUAAACAGGUAUGUGGGAAAAUAUUGCUAAUCCUAGAGAAGAAAUGGUCUUCCAUCCUCAGAGAAUCAAAGCUGCAGACAUGUGAUGGUUUGUCACUGCCAGCAAAUGACAAUGCAGAGGUGAAUUGUGUCCAUGUGGAGAACCAUGUGGGGAACCAUGUGGAGAACCAUGUGGAGAACCAUGGGGAGAACCAUGUGGAGAACCAUGUGGGGAACCAUGUGGAGAACCAUGGGGAGAACUAUGUGGAGAACCAUGGGGGGAACCAUGUGGGGAACCAUGUGGAGAACCAUGGGGAGAACUAUGUGGAGAACCAUGUGGAGGAGAACCAUGUGGAGGAGAACCAUGUGGAGGAGAACCAUGUGGAGGAGAACCAUGUGGAGAACCAUGUGGAUUAUUUCUCAUCAUGAUGCUAGUGAAGAAGUGGCAAAAUCAUCUUAAUUUCUUUAAUUCAGAUCGUCUGUGGUUUGAUAUUGAAGUAGCAGCUAAAAACAUACCCUCUGAAGCAUGAAGGUUGCUACUAUGUGUUAUAAUUUCUUUUCAACAAAAAUACAGCUAUUUUUAAAAGAUUAA
This is a long non-coding RNA of Peromyscus eremicus (cactus mouse), 683 nucleotides long. RefSeq lists it as uncharacterized. The record is from RefSeq and is a predicted model, not a curated record. Lineage: Eukaryota; Metazoa; Chordata; Mammalia; Rodentia; Cricetidae. The transcript is spliced from 2 exons.